Molecule: ribosomal RNA, 497 nt
Filed under: uncultured bacterium
Lineage: Bacteria
Description: partial 16S ribosomal RNA
Rfam family: Bacterial small subunit ribosomal RNA
Source: RNAcentral
GAUGAACGCUGGCGGUGUGCCUAAUACAUGCCAGUCGAGUGAACAGACGAGGAGCUUACUCCUCUGACGUUAGCGGCGGACGGGUGAGUAACACGUGGAUAACCUACCUAUAAGACUGGGAUAACUUCGGGAAACCGGAGCUAAUACCGGAUAACAUGUUGAACCGCAUGGUUCAACAGUGAAAGACGGUCUUGCUGUCACUUAUAGAUGGAUCCGCGUCGCAUUAGCUAGUUGGUAAGGUAACGGCUUACCAAGGCAACGAUGCGUAGCCGACCUGAGAGGGUGAUCGGCCACACUGGAACUGAGACACGGUCCAGACGCCUACGGGAGGCAGCAGUAGGGAAUCUUCCGCAAUGGGCGAAAGCCUGACGGAGCAACGCCGCGUGAGUGAAGAAGGUCUUCGGAUCGUAAAACUCUGUUAUUAGGGAAGAACAAAUGUGUAAGUAACUAUGCACGUCUUGACGGUACCUAAUCAGAAAGCCACGGCUAACUACGUG